This 403-nucleotide ribosomal RNA is filed under the name Fusobacteriota bacterium. RNAcentral describes it as "Fusobacteria bacterium partial 16S ribosomal RNA". It matches the Rfam family "Bacterial small subunit ribosomal RNA", at positions 355 to 776 of the family's 1533-position model. Lineage: Bacteria; Fusobacteriati; Fusobacteriota. The record is from RNAcentral.
UGGGGAAUAUCGCACAAUGGAGGGAACUCUGAUGCAGCGACGCCGCGUGAACGAAGAAGGCUUUCGAGUCGUAAAGUUCUUUUAUAUGGGAAGAUAAUGACGGUACCAUAAGAAAAAGCCCCGGCUAACUACGUGCCAGCAGCCGCGGUAAUACGUAGGGGGCUAGCGUUGUCCGGAAUCACUGGGCGUAAAGGGUUCGCAGGCGGAAAUGCAAGUCAGGUGUAAAAGGCAGUAGCUUAACUACUGUAAGCAUUUGAAACUGCAUAUCUUGAGAAGAGUAGAGGUAAGUGGAAUUUUUAGUGUAGCGGUGAAAUGCGUAGAUAUUAAAAAGAAUACCGGUGGCGAAGGCGACUUACUGGGCUCAUUCUGACGCUGAGAAACGAAAGCGUGGGUAGCAAACAGG